AACGUAGGACGCGAGCGUUAUCCGGAGUUACUGGGCGUAAAGCGCGGGCAGGCGGUCUGACAAGUCUGAUGUGAAAUCUCCGGGCUUAACCGGGAGAGGCCAUUGGAAACUGACAGGCUGGAGGGCAGUAGAGGUAGGCGGAAUUCCGGGUGGAGUGGUGAAAUGCGUAGAGAUCCGGAGGAACACCAGAGGCGAAGGCGGCCUACUGGGCUGCACCUGACGCUGAGGCGCGAAAGCCAGGGGAGCGAACGGG
This 253-nucleotide ribosomal RNA is filed under the name uncultured bacterium. RNAcentral's name for it is "partial 16S ribosomal RNA". It matches the Rfam family "Bacterial small subunit ribosomal RNA", at positions 524 to 776 of the family's 1533-position model. The record is from RNAcentral.